CCUGCCCCUCGAGGCAUUUCAGGUGUGACUCUUGUGUCACACGUGUGUCAGUAGGUGCCAGAGAAGAGCAAGGCUAUAUCUAUGCUCAAUGGUCUGGCGGUGAACAUCUAAAGGAUUAAUAUCCAAACACU
Grammomys surdaster is the source of this 131-nucleotide small nucleolar RNA. RefSeq annotates it as small nucleolar RNA SNORA17. The record is from RefSeq and is a predicted model, not a curated record. Lineage: Eukaryota; Metazoa; Chordata; Mammalia; Rodentia; Muridae. The transcript has a single exon.